This 21-nucleotide non-coding RNA is filed under the name Arabidopsis thaliana (thale cress). Lineage: Eukaryota; Viridiplantae; Streptophyta; Magnoliopsida; Brassicales; Brassicaceae. The record is from RNAcentral.
GUAGAUGCCGGUGAUAGAUGA